AGAGUUUGAUCCUGGCUCAGGAUAAACGCUGGCGGCGUGCCUAACACAUGCAAGUCGAACGACCUCGCGAAAGCGAGGGAGUGGCGGACGGGUGAGUAGCACGUGGGUAUCUACCCUGGGGUGAGGAAUACCGGCGAGAAAUCGCCGACAAGACCGCAUAAGGUCGAGGGAAGCCUCGAGCAAAGGAGAAAUCCGCCCUG
RNAcentral lists this ribosomal RNA (200 nucleotides) under uncultured bacterium. RNAcentral's name for it is "partial 16S ribosomal RNA". It matches the Rfam family "Bacterial small subunit ribosomal RNA", at positions 8 to 222 of the family's 1533-position model. The record is from RNAcentral.